CCUACGGGAGGCAGCAGUGGGGAAUCUUAGACAAUGGGGGCAACCCUGAUCUAGCCAUGCCGCGUGAGUGAUGAAGGCCCUAGGGUCGUAAAGCUCUUUCGCCAGGGAUGAUAAUGACAGUACCUGGUAAAGAAACCCCGGCUAACUCCGUGCCAGCAGCCGCGGUAAUACGGAGGGGGUUAGCGUUGUUCGGAAUUACUGGGCGUAAAGCGUACGUAGGCGGAUUAGUCAGUCAGAGGUGAAAUCCCAGGGCUCAGCCCUGGAACUGCCUUUGAUACUGCUAGUCUUGAGUUCGAGAGAGGUGAGUGGAAUUCCGAGUGUAGAGGUGAAAUUCGUAGAUAUUCGGAGGAACACCAGUGGCGAAGGCGGCUCACUGGCUCGAUACUGACGCUGAGGUACGAAAGUGUGGGGAGCAAACAGGAUUAGAUACCCUGGUAGUCCACACCGUAAACGAUGAAUGCCAGACGUCGGGCAGCAUGCUGUUCGGUGUCACACCUAACGGAUUAAGCAUUCCGCCUGGGGAGUACGGUCGCAAGAUUAAAACUCAAAGGAAUUGACGG
Molecule: ribosomal RNA, 560 nt
Filed under: uncultured bacterium
Lineage: Bacteria
Description: bacterial SSU rRNA
Rfam family: Bacterial small subunit ribosomal RNA
Source: RNAcentral